Molecule: ribosomal RNA, 380 nt
Filed under: uncultured eukaryote
Lineage: Eukaryota
Description: partial 18S ribosomal RNA
Rfam family: Eukaryotic small subunit ribosomal RNA
Source: RNAcentral
CAAUAGCAUAUAUUAAAGUUGUUGCGGUUAAAAAGCUCGUAGUUGGAUUUCUGCUUAGGACAGCCGGUCCGCACUACGUGCGUGUAUCUGGUUUGGCCUGGGCAUCCUAUCCGAAGGGGAUACUGUGCUUGAUUGCAUGGUUUUCAGUCGGGUACUUUUACUUUGAGGAAAUUAGAGUGUUCACGGCAGGCAAUCGCCCUGAAUAUAUUAGCAUGGAAUAAUAAUAUAGGAUCUGAUGCCUAUUUUGUUGGUUUCUAGGUGUUAGAUAAUGAUUAAUAGGGACAAUUGGGGGCAUUCGUAUUAUGGCGUCAGAGGUGGAAUUCUUGGAUUGCCAUACGACGAACUACUGCGAAAGCAUUUGCCAAGGAUGUUUUCAUUGA